GAUGAACGCUGGCGGCGUGCCUAAUACAUGCAAGUAGAACGCUGAAGGAGGAGCUUGCUCUUCUGGAUGAGUUGCGAACGGGUGAGUAACGCGUAGGUAACCUGCCUGUUAGCGGGGGAUAACUAUUGGAAACGAUAGCUAAUACCGCAUGACAACAUUUAUUGCAUGAUAACUGUUUAAAAAGGGCACCUUCUCCACUACCAAAUGGACCUGCGUUGUAUUAUCUAGUUGUUGAGGUAACGACACACCAAGGGGACGAUCCAUAGCCGACCUGGGAGGGUGAUCGGCCACACUGGGAAUGGGACAAGGCCCAGACUCCUACGGGAGGCAGCAGUAGGGAAUCUUCGGCAAUGGACGGAAGUCUGACCGAGCAACGCCGCGUGAGUGAAGAAGGUUUUCGGAUCGUAAAGCUCUGUUGUAAGAGAAGAACGAGUGUGAGAGUGGAAAGUUCACACUGUGACGGUAUCUUACCAGAAAGGGACGGCUAACUACGUG
Molecule: ribosomal RNA, 495 nt
Filed under: uncultured bacterium
Lineage: Bacteria
Description: partial 16S ribosomal RNA
Rfam family: Bacterial small subunit ribosomal RNA
Source: RNAcentral